This 338-nucleotide unclassified non-coding RNA is filed under the name soil metagenome. Its description in RNAcentral is "partial contains 5.8S ribosomal RNA, internal transcribed spacer 2, and large subunit ribosomal RNA". The stretch from base 1 to 120 matches the Rfam family "5.8S ribosomal RNA", at positions 35 to 154 of the family's 154-position model. The record is from RNAcentral.
GAUGAAGAACGUAGCGAAAUGCGAUAAGUAAUGUGAAUUGCAGAAUUCAGUGAAUCAUCGAAUCUUUGAACGCGCAUUGCGCCCGCCAGUAUUCUGGCGGGCAUGCCUGUCUGAGCGUCAUUUCAACCCUCAAGCAACUUCUGCUAGGUGUUGGGGAUCGGCCGUCAAACGCCGCCCCCGAAAUCUAUUGGCGAUCUCGCUGUAGCUUCCUAUGCGUAGUAGUAACAUCUCGCAUCUGGAGAGCGGCGCGGUCAUGCCGUAAAACACCCAACUUCUCAGGUUGACCUCAGAUCAGGUAGGAAUACCCGCUGAACUUAAGCAUAUCAAUAAGCGGAGGA